This 742-nucleotide long non-coding RNA is filed under the name Coffea arabica (coffee). RNAcentral describes it as "long non-coding RNA (CARA_LNC005182)". Lineage: Eukaryota; Viridiplantae; Streptophyta; Magnoliopsida; Gentianales; Rubiaceae. The record is from RNAcentral.
UCGUUUGUUUCCCUUUUUUUUUUCCAACUUCAUCGUGGCUUGCUUCACACCCAAAAAAGAAGAGAGAACCCUUUCAAGUCUAAUUACCACCUAAUACAGGUUGAUUAAGACAAAGCGCCGUGGUAAAACAGUCCUAUCGGUUCCCACAAUUUUCAACAAGGUAGUUGAUAAAAUAAAUGGUCUCGGAAUUAAAGUUUUCUUUCAUUUUCACCCAUCUUUGUUUAAAAAUGUUUCGAAGGACAAUAAUUGUUUGGAUACCUCAAUUAUCCCAAAUAAAAUUUCGCUUGCAUCAUAGACACAUUUUCCAACCUACCUUUUUAUAUUUCCAACCACCUUUUUAUCUCACAUACAUCACAUCACAAAAAAUGCUACAGUAAUUAUUCCAAAUAAUAUUUCAAAUAAUACACUAUCCAAACACUCCCAAUAUUAUUUCUACGUUUCUUUUCCUUUUGCCUUGCGUCUUUAGAAAGUGCGAGAUUCAUGCACUAAUAUUUCAUUUAGACACAAGUACUAUAACAACAGUACUCUAUACCAAUAAUAGUUUACAUAAUACUACUACGUUGAUCCAGUGUGGUCCUUUUCUCUCUCUCUCUCUCUUUUUUUUUUUUUUUUUUUUUUUUAGCAAAGGGCGAUGACGAUUGAAUGAUUGAAGUUUCGUUUAAGGCUUACCAAAGAUUAUUGAUUGUGUGGAUAGUUAAAUAGACCCAACCACUUUUGUGUGCACGCUCGUACUUAUACGUAU